Molecule: unclassified non-coding RNA, 1212 nt
Filed under: Hevea brasiliensis (rubber tree)
Lineage: Eukaryota; Viridiplantae; Streptophyta; Magnoliopsida; Malpighiales; Euphorbiaceae
Source: RNAcentral
GAAAAAGUUUUCUAAAGAUCGGAUUCUCUAAGUACAUAAUUAUAUGAUGAAUUAAAGAUUUUACAUAUCAUACAAGGGGAAAAAAGGCCAACUUAUACCUCAUAAUCCCUUAGGCCAUGAUCUAAAUCAAGCAAAUCUAAUUAUUGACUAAGCAAAUUACAUUACUAUAAUAUUAAAAUUAAUUAAAUUUAAAAAAAUUGACUUAGAAUGGGUGCACAUUCUUCGUUAAUCCACCGUUCACAUUUGUGAAAAAUCCGACGAGCUCCGGCCGAUAAGGAAGAUACGAUCGCCGGCGAUCUUCAGCUUUAGCUUUACUCUUCAUAUAAGCUUCAUGAGCUAAAACCCCUUCACUCUUCUUCACAACCUUCUUCAUCUUCUUCGUUACUUUUCCGAUGACUUUCACUUCGCCGGAGAUCUCCUUCUUUUUCUUCUCCGACGUUGUCGUUUCAUCUGUCCGAACAAUUUUUUCCUCUACUUUCGCUGCCGGAGUUGUUGGGUUUAAGAAUACAAAGGUAUCUCUUCCGUCACUGUUACUCCGGUGAAGAAAGUCUUUAAAUCUCCAUAACUUUGAAAAUCCGGUUGAAUUACUCUUUUUACAAACCUCAGGAUUGUCCGAUGUUGCUUCAAUUGCUUUAUUUUUUGACCAUUCACAAAAGGGUCCGACGAUUUCUUCACUCUCCGUUAACGAAUUUGAACUCGCCGGAAUUGGGUUGUCUUCCGUUUGUAUAAAUAUCUUCUUCACCGGUGGCCUGAUCGGUAAUUGUUCCUUCAAAGCUUCCAAUUCUUCGUCAGAUAAAAGAAGACUCUGAUUAAACAAUGGAAACAGAGGUCGAAUUUGACCAUUGUAAAACACCUCAUCCGCGGCUAUCGGCGGCGCGUCUAUCCCACACGCGAAAGAGAACUCUUCUUCUUCAUCUUCAACCUCCUCUUCCUCGUCAUCCUCAUAAUCUUCUUCGAUUAUCUGUUCUUUCAUACUCAACUGCUCUGUAAAAUCUCCGGUUAAUGUUCCCAUCAUUUCUUCAUUAUACGAAUCUGUUAACGUUUCAGAAUCCAUUUUCUUCAAAAAACCAAAACCCAAAAUUUGAUUUUACUGUAGAAAUCUGAAUAUAAUAUAUUUUUGAAGAAAAUUAGAAAGAGAGAAUUUUGAAAAUUUGAAGGAAUAUUUAUAUUUUUAGUAUAUAGUUUUUAAGAAGGAUGAGGAUUGGGGGUUUG